GAUGAACGCUGGCGGCGUGCCUAAUACAUGCAAGUCGAGCGAACAGACGAGGAGCUUGCUCCUCUGACGUUAGCGGCGGACGGGUGAGUAACACGUGGAUAACCUACCUAUAAGACUGGGAUAAUCUCGGGAAACCGGCGCUAAUACCGGAUAAUAUAUUGAACCGCAUGGUUCAAUAGUGAAAGACGGUUUUGCUGUCACUUAUAGAUGGAUCCGCGCCGCAUUAGCUAGUUGGUAAGGUAACGGCUUACCAAGGCAACGAUGCGUAGCCGACCUGAGAGGGUGAUCGGCCACACUGGAACUGAGACACGGUCCAGACUCCUACGGGAGGCAGCAGUAGGGAAUCUUCCGCAAUGGGCGAAAGCUUGACGGAGCAACGCCGCGUGAGUGAUGAAGGUCUUCGGAUCGUAAAACUCUGUUAUUAGGGAAGAACAAAUGUGUAAGUAACUAUGCACGUCUUGACGGUACCUAAUCAGAAAGCCACGGCUAACUACGUG
Molecule: ribosomal RNA, 497 nt
Filed under: uncultured bacterium
Lineage: Bacteria
Description: partial 16S ribosomal RNA
Rfam family: Bacterial small subunit ribosomal RNA
Source: RNAcentral